This 66-nucleotide microRNA precursor is filed under the name Ciona savignyi (Pacific transparent sea squirt). Its description in RNAcentral is "miRNA (ENSCSAVG00000012451.1)". Lineage: Eukaryota; Metazoa; Chordata; Ascidiacea; Phlebobranchia; Cionidae. The record is from RNAcentral.
CCCUUUGUCGCAGUUUUAUCUGGUAAAGCGAAUGAUUAGAGGUCUUGGGGGCGAAACGCCCUCAAC